UGAGGAAUUUUGCGCAAUAGGGGAAACCCUGACGCAGCAACGCCGCGUGAGUGAAGAAGGCCUUCGGGUCGUAAAGCUCUGUCAAGUGGGACAAAAUCCUGUGGGUAAAUAGCCCGCGGGAGUGAUGGUACUGCUAGAGGAAGCACCGGCUAACUCCGUGCCAGCAGCCGCGGUAAUACGGAGGGUGCAAGCGUUGUUCGGAAUUACUGGGCGUAAAGCGCGUGCAGGCGGUUCGGUAAGUCAGAUGUGAAAGCCCUGGGCUCAACCCAGGAAGUGCAUUUGAUACUGCCGAGCUAGAGUAUGGGAGAGGAGAGUGGAAUUCCCAGUGUAGAGGUGAAAUUCGUAGAUAUUGGGAGGAACACCCGUGGCGAAGGCGACUCUCUGGACCAAUACUGACGCUGAGACGCGAAAGCGUGGGGAGCAAACAGG
This 429-nucleotide ribosomal RNA is filed under the name uncultured Desulfobacterium sp. RNAcentral's name for it is "bacterial SSU rRNA". It matches the Rfam family "Bacterial small subunit ribosomal RNA", at positions 355 to 776 of the family's 1533-position model. Lineage: Bacteria; Pseudomonadati; Thermodesulfobacteriota; Desulfobacteria; Desulfobacterales; Desulfobacteriaceae. The record is from RNAcentral.